Molecule: unclassified non-coding RNA, 369 nt
Filed under: plant metagenome
Description: partial contains 5.8S ribosomal RNA, internal transcribed spacer 2, and large subunit ribosomal RNA
Rfam family: 5.8S ribosomal RNA (bases 1-105)
Source: RNAcentral
GAAAUGCGAUAAGUAAUGUGAAUUGCAGAAUUCAGUGAAUCAUCGAAUCUUUGAACGCACCUUGCGCUCCUUGGUAUUCCGAGGAGCAUGCCUGUUUGAGUGUCAUGAAAACCCUCAACCCUAGAUUGGUUAAUACCUUUCUUUGGUUUGGAUUUGGAAGUUUGCCGAUGAUAAGUCGGCUCGUCUUAAAAGUAAUAGCUGGAUCUGUCUCGCGACAUGGUUUGACUUGGCGUAAUAAGUAUUUCGCUAAGGACAUCUUCGGAUGGCCGCGUUGCAGGACUAAAGACCGCUUUCCAAUCCAUUGAUCUUCGGAUUAAUACUCUUGACAUCUGGCCUCAAAUCAGGUAGGACUACCCGCUGAACUUAAGC